UAGUGACGCGCAUGAAUG
RNAcentral lists this non-coding RNA (18 nucleotides) under Arabidopsis thaliana (thale cress). RNAcentral also lists the same sequence under 1 other name. Lineage: Eukaryota; Viridiplantae; Streptophyta; Magnoliopsida; Brassicales; Brassicaceae. The record is from RNAcentral.